GUGAGGAAUAUUGGUCAAUGGGCGGGAGCCUGAACCAGCCAAGUCGCGUGAAGGAAGAAGGAUCUAUGGUUCGUAAACUUCUUUUGCAGGGGAAUAAAGUGCAGGACGUGUCCUGUUUUGUAUGUACCCUGAGAAUAAGGAUCGGCUAACUCCGUGCCAGCAGCCGCGGUAAUACGGAGGAUCCGAGCGUUAUCCGGAUUUAUUGGGUUUAAAGGGUGCGUAGGUGGUUUGAUAAGUCAGCGGUGAAAGUUUGCAGCUUAACUGUAAAAAUGCCGUUGAAACUGUCGGACUUGAGUGUAAAUGAGGUACGCGGAAUGCGUGGUGUAGCGGUGAAAUGCAUAGAUAUCACGCAGAACUCCGAUUGCGAAGGCAGCUUACUAAGCUACAACUGACACUGAAGCACGAAAGCGUGGGGAUCAAACAGGAUUAGAAACCCGAGUAGUCC
RNAcentral lists this ribosomal RNA (445 nucleotides) under uncultured bacterium. RNAcentral's name for it is "partial 16S ribosomal RNA". It matches the Rfam family "Bacterial small subunit ribosomal RNA", at positions 354 to 796 of the family's 1533-position model. The record is from RNAcentral.